Molecule: RNA transcript, 518 nt
Organism: Mytilus trossulus (common blue mussel)
Lineage: Eukaryota; Metazoa; Mollusca; Bivalvia; Mytilida; Mytilidae
Exons: 4
Source: RefSeq, a predicted model, not a curated record
UAUAACAUAUGACCUCGGGGGCAUUAUUUACUAUUUCUAUUUGCUGUUCUGAUAUUUAUACAAAAUUAUGUUAACCUAUCUCACUUUUACAGGAGACAUGAAGAGAAUGAUAAUGACAGGACUGGGAGUAACAAGUAUUAUUUAAAGAGAACACGAAGAACUGAGGAAGAGAAUGAUAGGAGUAACAAGGAUUUCAAGAGAGCACGAACAGAGGAAGAGAAUGGUAAAGGUGACAGUGAUAGUGACAGAGAUAUACGGGGAAUACGGGUAAUUACUACAAGGAUAUCUCUUAAUGAGGCUGAAUAUCUAAACAUCGGAUCCACCAUUUCGAUAAUCAAUAAAAAGUUGAUGAGCGCUGAUGUAAAAAUCAAAUAUUUCCAACAAAGUUUAAAGGUGUUGCAAACACAAAUGCUGAAAGACGUGAGAUUCAACGAGCUUCUUGAUCAAAGAAAACAAGAACUUGUAAAACAUCACGAGUCAUUAAUGCUACUGGUGACACAAUUAGCACCUGAAUAAUU